This is a long non-coding RNA of Capsicum annuum, 400 nucleotides long. RefSeq lists it as uncharacterized. The transcript has 3 exons. The record is from RefSeq and is a predicted model, not a curated record. Lineage: Eukaryota; Viridiplantae; Streptophyta; Magnoliopsida; Solanales; Solanaceae.
AUCAAUAAGAUGAAUAUUGCAAUUUUUUUAAGGCACUCCGAUGAAUGAAAAACUAAAAUACAAUAUGCAGGAAACAAAAGUGAAGAAUUGUUGUUGCUAAAACAAUAACUUAUUUGUGGUUGAUUUCGUCAAUUGCAGGUUUCAUAACGUAUCUGUUAUGCAUAACAACGAUGGAUAGAAUUUGAGAGGAUAUCCAAUUUGAUAGAGAAAUUGGAGCUGUGAUUUGUGUGGAAGAUAAGAAGGAUUGACAUGUUUCUGAAAGUUUGAAUGAGGAAGAAGUCCAGCCACCAAAAUAUACAAGAUCACUUGAAAUACUAAAGAAAGGCAGGAUUAAGAGAUCUAGCGACACUUUAUCGUCAAGCACAAAUUGUUGUGGAUGUUGCAAACAAGCGGAUCACAA